Molecule: long non-coding RNA, 2029 nt
Filed under: Salvator merianae (Argentine black and white tegu)
Lineage: Eukaryota; Metazoa; Chordata; Lepidosauria; Squamata; Teiidae
Description: lncRNA (ENSSMRG00000014520.1)
Source: RNAcentral
UUCCUUCCUUCCUUCCUUCCUUCCUUCCUUCCUUCCUUCCUUUCCUUCCUUCCUUCCUUCCUUCCUUCCUUCCUUCCUUCCUUGAAACGAACAGAGCUUCAAAUCCGAAUUACGUUACUGUGAGCAGAGGGAAAAAGGAAGAGUUUCACCAAAGCCUGUGUUUGCAAACAUGGUCGAGGUUCUAUUUUGCAGAGAAGAAAGCCAAACUAAUGAGAGAAAGCACUGGAUAGUUUGCAGAGUUCAAGACCCCCGUCUUGGGCAUCUCAGCCGACUCUCGGAGCGAUUUUUCCUUCCCCCCACCCCAAGGCCUGCCCAUCCUGGCUCCCCCUGCAAGGAAAUCUGGAGUCCCCUGGGAGUGUGGAAAGGAGAGGGAGGAAAGAGGGACCGCGAAGCAUCUAUGCCCUGAGCAACAGAUGAAGAAGUGGUCAGUAUUACUUUGCAAAACGGAGGGUCUUCCCCCCCGCGUGCCUUUCUACUUGGGGUGAUCCUAGUGGCCGCCACCCCAAGCCCACUAAACUGGGCGCUCGGUGCCUUUGAAGUCCGCAGACCGGGGCGGCAUAAAAGGUUGACGGAGACGUUUACACUGGGUGCGCCGGCGGGNGUGUGUGGGUAAAACUGGCGCAGCCCUGAAAGCCUACUCCUCGCUCCCCCCAUACCUCGCGUCACCCCUCCUGUAGCGUCCAGGUGGCCGCGUCCUUCCGGCCCACGUCUCCUUGGCUAAUCAGGGCGCACAGGCACCAGCUAUUCCCCGUGGGAACCACCACGAUCGCAGGAAAAAACCAGGCAACCAACGCGCGGGCCUUUAGCAAUCAUAUANACAUCUCCUCAUCUAUCAUCUUGCUAUGGCAUCCGCACUGAGUGACAUGGGUAAAUGGAGAGUGACAAAGACAGGUGGAACAAGGAAAUGUGUUAGCCCUCGUUCGGCGCAAAUGCUACAUAUUGCUGGGACAUUUUUGUUUCAAGUUGCAGACGGAGGAACAUAUGCUGGGCCUUAUCCACUCAAGUUGUCUCCUAAUCAUGCAUCUGUCUCAGGAAAAAACAAAGAAAAGACUCCAGCUUUCUUUCUUUCUUUGAUGGACGAGGGAACCACUCAGAAGAGCUUAGCUGUACCUGGACCACCCCUUCCCCAUUUUAAGAGAAGUCUUUUCAGCACAAACAUCGUUUCUUCUCCGUGGUUCUUUGUUAGAGCUGGAGUGCCCUGUUCAGUAAGUUCAGACAGAUGGCAAUGACAUAUUUCAUACAGAACUCUGUAAUGUGGGUAAUGGUUCAGGUGGUCUCUGAGAAGGUGAAUGGUUCCUCCACCGUUUUCUCCCCUCCAAAUAGCUUUUGAUUGAACUGCUGGAACUGCCGUCUGCUUUGGAGGCAGCCCUUGGCCUUUUCCCAUGUCCUUGGGAUGCUUGUAAUUUUUUUUUUCUUUUUCUGAAGGCUGGAGCUCCCAAGAAGUAGGUGUCCAAGCUGGGGAGGUUACCAUAGUUUACAGAUGGAUCACUGAGGGUGAGAGACUACCAGUCAAUGUCUUCAAGGCAGUGAAUCCAGAAACACAGUGUCCUGAAGUCAAUGGGAUUUCUCUCCUACCUGCAAAUGUAAUGCUUUCAGUUUUUCAAAGAGAAUCACAAGAGGGACGAGUUGGGAAGCAGAGAGCAUAGCUCUGUGGCAGAACAUCUGGUUUGCACGCAACCCCAUGGAAGGCAAUGGCAAACUGCUUUUGUCUUUAAAGGUACCAGUGACUUUGACCCGACCCCAGCCCCUGGUGACUUUAUGGACACCUCCGUGCACUUUUCUUGGAGACAUUGUGGCAGGUUUGCUGAGCCUGUCAAGAUGUUCAGAAUCACAGAGAUUUCUUAGCUGACUGUCAGGUUGUUAGGUGGGUGCCUGCUAUUUCAGACAGGCCUUGUAUGGAUGGAUCUCUUCUUCAUUCCCAAGCCAUUAUUAUAUUUAUAUAUAUUAUUUACUUGAGGUCACAGUGUGGUGUUUACAAAAUAUAAAAUUAAAUAAUAAAUCAUAAGCAGAAAGUGAAAAAUCCUAAGGC